CAUUCGUGUCUAUACCUUAAACAUGUUCUAGGAACCGGUGGAAAAGAAUACUAGCAAUAUUGUCCAAUCAACAAGAUCAAGGUGGAGCAAGGAGGAACAGUCAGCAGAUUUCACAUUUAUUUUGCUAAAGCUGCAUGUUA
Molecule: long non-coding RNA, 140 nt
Organism: Lolium rigidum
Lineage: Eukaryota; Viridiplantae; Streptophyta; Magnoliopsida; Poales; Poaceae
Exons: 3
Source: RefSeq, a predicted model, not a curated record